This is a non-coding RNA of Callithrix jacchus (white-tufted-ear marmoset), 5268 nucleotides long. The record is from RefSeq and is a predicted model, not a curated record. NCBI's taxonomy places the organism in Eukaryota, Metazoa, Chordata, Mammalia, Primates, Cebidae.
AGGCCUCGCUGCUCCAGUGCGGCCUUCAGGUCGGUCACCCGCAGCGCCUGAAGAGGCUUCCCGUCCAGAGUCACCUCCUCCAGCUCCGCCAUCUUGCGUGAGGUACUCGGGUCCGUCCCGACGGCUUCGGGCAUCUUCGGCAACUCUCUCCUUUGUACCCUGGGUUCAAGAGGCUGCACCUACCAAGAAUGAGUAUCUGCAGGUGAGCUGAGGACAUUUCUAGGUAUCCCUGAAGAAGAAUUACAUACAUUGUCAAUGACAUGAACUCACCUGUGGUAGUUUGGGGUAUCUGGGUCUCCCCAGACAGCAUGGCAGUACCGUGCAGCAUCUCGACUCAGAAGCAGGGGUCCUUGCACUGGACGGACUUGACAAAAGCCCAAUAGUCCUCCUAGGCUUCCUCCUAGAGCUAACUCUUCUUCUCAGAUGGCUCUGCCCAGCUGACUGAACCCAGCCUUACUUCCCAGGCCCUCCCAUCAAGCUCCUCGGACCUGACUGUCUCCACAGACUUGGCUCAGACUGUGCUGGUGUGAGAAGCCUUUGCUGACCAGGCUCUGGGAGAACAUCCAGCUUCCUUCAGCUUUUCCCUGUCUGUAGAGCCAAUCUCUUCUACUCAGCUCUUUGGAACAUGGAUUCUGUUUCAUGGAAGGAAGUGUUGCCUGAUUCCCGGAAUUACAGCAAACAACUGAGAUGUGUAAAUCUGUUGUCUUUUGGCAUUAUUUUUGGUUUGGAAUGUGAGUCCCUAGGAUAGCUAGAAGCUAUGGAGAGCUUUUAGGACUGUCAUUCUGGAAGGAAUCUGGCAAGAUCUCCUAAGAGGAAAUGCCUGGUGACUCUGUCUCAAAAGGCCACUUAAUCAUCACCACCACCAACUUCGUUUCCAUUUUAAAUUUUAUUACAUCAAAAGAAAAAAAACUCUCCACAGAACAAAUCUCUAAAACCUACACCAAGCAAAAGAAAUUAUCAUUAAGGUUCUAACUCCACCCCCCAAAAACAACCUUACAUUAAAAAAUCCAAAAGAAAUAGAAAUACCGGCUUCAAAAAUAUUUAUCCAAAAAGUAAGGCAUCAACUUUACAAAAAAAUAAUAAUUGAAGGAGGGGAGGAAGUUGGAGGAAUGAGAAGAGAGGGAACAAGAUGGUCCCUGACCCUCCAGGGCCAGCCCCAGCCUCUUGGGCGCGUACUCUGAAGGGGUCACAACUCAGACCAAACUCGGCAUCUCACCAACUAUGGGGUGGGCAAGCUGGGCAGGGAAGCUGGGAGACACCACCCGGGCCAGGAAGGGCACCUGUGUAUUCCAGUUUAAGCAGACAGCAUUGGGGGUUGGGGAGAGAAUCGCAUUUUGUGAUAAAAGGAUCCUAAGUCCUUAGUGCAGCAGGAGUGGCUGGGGAGGCUGCAGGGCCCACAGCAAACUCCAUGGCCUUCCUUGGGAGCUCAGGGAAAGGUCAGAAGCCACCUGUCACAGAGGAGGGCCUUUUCUGAGGACCUCCAGAGUGGGCUUCCUGCUGUCACUGCCCUGUCAUCCUGCCCCUGAGACCUGCAAAGAGGGAGGAGCUAUUGGAGUUGGGGACUGAUGGGAGAGGAACUGGCCUUUAGCCAACGCUCUCCCCAGGAUAUGGAAUGGGUACCUCUGGGGAUGGGCAAGCGCCCUUCCUCCCAAGGAAGGCAUUUCAUAUCAGAUCUGUCUUGAGGGUUAGAAAUAGGGGAGUAUUUUUAGGCCCAGUUCUUGGAUGGGAGGUGACUUAAGGCUGAUUUGGCUCCAAUCUCAGGCCUGAAGGGCUUGGGGAUCCUUCACACCCGGUCCCAAGCCAAGGCCCAGGGAGGAGAAGGGCAUGGUGGGGACGGCAGUGCUGGCUGUGCGGGUGUUCGGGGCAUAGCCAUAGGGAUAGCAGGGGACUGCUCCUGCCCUGGGUGGGCGGGGAGCUGGAGUUGCUGAGCGGCUUCAUCAUGAGAUGCCUACUACACUAAAAAUCAGAAGCCUUUCUGGCCUCUAGAAGCUUUGGCAUCAUGUUGGGGGCAGUAUGCAGGAGGCAGGGGCAGGGGCAGGACUGGGUUUCUGCAAUCUGAGCCUUUCUCAAUAUGUUCCUCAACCAGCCUAGCUUGGGUCUGGUGGGGCCGUUCUUCUCCUUGGUCCUUACCUCUGGGAGGUGGCGUCCUGAGGGGAAGCGAACUCUGGACAGGGAGCCCAGGCUGGGGUGGGUGCAGGUAUGAUGGGGAGGGGCAGGAAAGAGGGCAGAGGGAAACAUCCCCUUGGAUUUUGGGUCCCUGGUGAACAGAUAGGGUCUUGGGUCUCUCCAGCAGACCCCUUGAUGGGGACAGAAUUGCUUGAGCCUGUCCCUCCCCAAAGCAGCCCCUGUGGCCGCCUCUCCUUUCUGAAGGGGGCCUCCCUGGGAGGGCAGGCAGUAAUGAGCUCCGGUUCCUGAAGAGGCAGCUGAGGGCGCAGCCCGGAGGGAGGUCCUGCAGGCCAUCCUUGGCAUCUCCCCUCUCCUCCUGCAGGUGGGAUCAUGGGCAGCACUGGGUGGGGCCUGGGACAUGGGCCCUGGGGCGAGAGGCUGGUUCUUUGGGUAUGAAUGUCAGUUUUUGUUUACAGUUUCUCACCACUCACACCCAGGUCCUAUCACUGCCUGAUGAAAGUAGAGAAAGGGGUGUGUGUGUACUUGUGUGUGUUGUGGGGACCCAGGCAAGGAGGUAGGAUGGAAGCGGGAGAAAGGAGAGAGUAGCCAGCUGAGGGAUGGUGGUCCUCAGGGCUGGGGCUGCCCCGCCAUGUCCUUGUCCUUGUGGGGAGUGGGUUGGUAUAUGGGCUGCUGCUGCUCCUCCAUGUCCUCAUGAGUCUCCUCUGUCUCUGAGCCCCUCUCCACCUCGGGGUACACGACCACACACAUCUUCUGGCUCACCAGGGUUAGCAGCUCUGUGGGAGGAGAUCACACAGAAACCAGGCCAAUGCUGAGCAUCCCACCAACCCGGCCAAGCGGCCCUGGCCCUUCCCAGCUCUCCCGCCCCAGAUUCUGCCUCCUCAGAGCAGUCAGUGCCUUGAGGGGAAUCCUCGCCACCUGGUCUGCCUCUUGCAUCUUCUAUCAGCUGCUCUUUGCUCAUGAAAGCCCCAGUCUUCCACCUUCCCUGUGCCCACUGACCCCCAAGUCCAGGGUCUCCGCUGGUCUCCACCCAGCCUGGAGCAGCUCUCACAGGAUGGCUGACAGGUUGCCUAUGUUAUUUAAAUAUUUGUAUUAAUAGAGGUGGGGUCUUGUGAUGUUGAUCAGGCUGGUCUCAAGUCCUCUGUCUCAGCCUCUCAGAGUGUUGGGAUUACAGGCGUGAGCCACUGUGCCCAGCCCAGGUUGCCAAUUCUUGCAGGUCUAAGGUCUGUGUAGAAAUGCCAGCUGUUCUCCCUAAGUGGUCUCUGGGAAAAGUCAUCUGCUUCCCCUGCUCUGAACUUCUCCAGAGCUCUGUGGACUGAGAAGGCAAGCCUAGGCCUCCUGACCCUGGAGGCUCCCCUGCCCCAUCACUGACCACUGUAUUCCAGACCAGGAGGCCCUCAAGCCAGCCAGGGCCUCCAACAACUCACCAAUGAAGUCACUGAAGCACUUGGGCUUGUGUUGCCAGUAAACACCGAGGAAAUAGACAGGCACUCCUGUCAGCAUGAUGGCCAGGCCAAUGCCACACACCACAGGCUCCGACCAUAGGCUGAAGACCAGCAGGAAGGCCCAGAACAGCAAGUAGAUGAUGGGGAACAGCAGGUUGAUCUGUGGAGCAGAGGCAGGAGGCAUGUGAAUGGUGUAGGCCCCAUGGCCCCCCGGACUAGGGACUGGGCAUUCUCUCUCUUCUUCACCCACAGAGACACAUCCUCAAGGGCAAAGGCUGGACUUCCUUCAGCUCUGUGGCUCCCAUACCCAUCCCUUAUAGGGCAGGGUCUAUAUCAACAAAUGUUGAUGAACAUGGGUAGUCAGACAGGAAGAGGAUGGGGAGGGGCUAACGAGGAAAGGAUCCUCCUUGCCCAUGUCCUUGCUCCUGAGUGUGAUUAGACAAGGUCUCAUCAUGCAUGUCAUGUGCCCAGGGCAGCCAGAGAAGCCCAUAGAGAUAGAGAAGCUUGCUGGUACAGGGUGUGUGUCUGCUGAGGUCCUAGGGUGGAGGGGAGGUGUAGCAAUGCACAAGGUGCAGAGAGGAGAUGAUCCAAGUCACUCAGGCUCCCUGCUCCUUGCCCACUUCUAUGCAGGGCCCUUAUGUGGGCACAGCAUGGCAAAUGCCAGCCCCUUAUGGGCCACAUGUCGGGAGUUCCUGAGAGUCUCUUCUUCAUGGCUCCAGGGGAAGUCCUGAUUUGGCUGCCUUCUCUUCCUUGUCUUCCUCAUUGAGAAGGGAUGUACGUGAUGGGGACAUGGGGUUAUUCUACCGCCUCUUCCCUCUAGCAGGUUUUCUAAGAGUGAGAGUAGAAAAUGGCGGUGGAAAUGCCAGUAAGGAACUGACAGAUUUAGAGAGCCUUUAAUUUUUCAGCUGGAAGAAUCUAGAAGCAUCUAGUCGCUGUUUCUACAAUAGGAUUGUUCAAAUAGUUCCAGAGUACACUCUAUUCUUCUAAUUUGUAGAACUCACAAUGCUUUAACAUGUCUUGUUUCAAGCAAUCCCAUUAAUUCCUAUCAUAGAGUUAUAUCUUGUAGCAAUAUUAGGUUCACUGAGCACCCUACUACGUGUAGGGCUGUGGGAGUUUAAAAAGAGAAGAUCAUGGAAGGUUGCAGUGGAUUGGAAAACUUCAAGAAAGAGGAAGUACUUGAGGCCCAUUUGGAAAACUGUUAAAAUUUAGAUGGGCAGUUGGGAAGAGGAAACUCAUUCUGGGAUGGAGACACAGCACAGAGCGAACCCAGCUCUCUGGAGGGACAGGGAGGAAGUGCUGGGGAGAUAAGAGAGCCUUGAAAAAUCAGCUGGAGUUUAAGGCUUAGACUGGUAGGAAACAAAGGAAUGACAUGAUGAAAGUAACAUCUGUUCUGACUUAUUCCCCAGCUGCAGUCUGCUCUGGUCUUGUCGCCAGUGGAGAAUGGAAAUUGUGGUCCCAUUCACACAUGGCCCUUGCUUCCCAAAGGAUCUGCUACCAUCUGAGCAGCUAAGAACAGAGGUGAUUUAAAAAUCUGAGCUGCAGCUAGAACCACAGAGAAAGGGGAGGGGACCCCAAAGGGAGGUUCUCUCACCUUGAUGGGACGGGGGAUAUCAGGCUUCUUCCAGCGAAGGACUAUCUGUCCAGCAACCGUGACCCCAUAGAAGAGGUAGUUGAUGAAGCCAACAUAAUUGAUGAGUGU